Molecule: ribosomal RNA, 942 nt
Filed under: Vibrio sp. N710
Lineage: Bacteria; Pseudomonadati; Pseudomonadota; Gammaproteobacteria; Vibrionales; Vibrionaceae
Description: bacterial SSU rRNA
Rfam family: Bacterial small subunit ribosomal RNA
Source: RNAcentral
AAUAGCUGCAUUGCUUGACGUUAGCGACAGAAGAAGCACCGGCUAAUUCCGUGCCAGCAGCCGCGGUAAUACGGAGGGUGCGAGCGUUAAUCGGAAUUACUGGGCGUAAAGCGCAUGCAGGUGGUUCGUUAAGUCAGAUGUGAAAGCCCGGGGCUCAACCUCGGAACUGCAUUUGAAACUGGCGGACUAGAGUACUGUAGAGGGGGGUAGAAUUUCAGGUGUAGCGGUGAAAUGCGUAGAGAUCUGAAGGAAUACCGGUGGCGAAGGCGGCCCCCUGGACAGAUACUGACACUCAGAUGCGAAAGCGUGGGGAGCAAACAGGAUUAGAUACCCUGGUAGUCCACGCCGUAAACGAUGUCUACUUGGAGGUUGUGGCCUUGAGCCGUGGCUUUCGGAGCUAACGCGUUAAGUAGACCGCCUGGGGAGUACGGUCGCAAGAUUAAAACUCAAAUGAAUUGACGGGGGCCCGCACAAGCGGUGGAGCAUGUGGUUUAAUUCGAUGCAACGCGAAGAACCUUACCUACUCUUGACAUCCAGAGAAGCCAGCGGAGACGCAGGUGUGCCUUCGGGAGCUCUGAGACAGGUGCUGCAUGGCUGUCGUCAGCUCGUGUUGUGAAAUGUUGGGUUAAGUCCCGCAACGAGCGCAACCCUUAUCCUUGUUUGCCAGCGAGUAAUGUCGGGAACUCCAGGGAGACUGCCGGUGAUAAACCGGAGGAAGGUGGGGACGACGUCAAGUCAUCAUGGCCCUUACGAGUAGGGCUACACACGUGCUACAAUGGCGCAUACAGAGGGCAGCCAACUUGCGAAAGUGAGCGAAUCCCAAAAAGUGCGUCGUAGUCCGGAUUGGAGUCUGCAACUCGACUCCAUGAAGUCGGAAUCGCUAGUAAUCGUAGAUCAGAAUGCUACGGUGAAUACGUUCCCGGGCCUUGUACACACCGCCCG